This 642-nucleotide ribosomal RNA is filed under the name Lysinibacillus sp. RNAcentral's name for it is "bacterial SSU rRNA". It matches the Rfam family "Bacterial small subunit ribosomal RNA", at positions 60 to 683 of the family's 1533-position model. The record is from RNAcentral. Lineage: Bacteria; Bacillati; Bacillota; Bacilli; Caryophanales; Bacillaceae.
AGUCGAGCGAACAGAGAAGGAGCUUGCUCCUUCGACGUUAGCGGCGGACGGGUGAGUAACACGUGGGCAACCUACCUUAUAGUUUGGGAUAACUCCGGGAAACCGGGGCUAAUACCGAAUAAUCUGUUUCACCUCAUGGUGAAACACUGAAAGACGGUUUCGGCUGUCGCUAUAGGAUGGGCCCGCGGCGCAUUAGCUAGUUGGUGAGGUAACGGCUCACCAAGGCGACGAUGCGUAGCCGACCUGAGAGGGUGAUCGGCCACACUGGGACUGAGACACGGCCCAGACUCCUACGGGAGGCAGCAGUAGGGAAUCUUCCACAAUGGGCGAAAGCCUGAUGGAGCAACGCCGCGUGAGUGAAGAAGGAUUUCGGUUCGUAAAACUCUGUUGUAAGGGAAGAACAAGUACAGUAGUAACUGGCUGUACCUUGACGGUACCUUAUUAGAAAGCCACGGCUAACUACGUGCCAGCAGCCGCGGUAAUACGUAGGUGGCAAGCGUUGUCCGGAAUUAUUGGGCGUAAAGCGCGCGCAGGUGGUUUCUUAAGUCUGAUGUGAAAGCCCACGGCUCAACCGUGGAGGGUCAUUGGAAACUGGGAGACUUGAGUGCAGAAGAGGAUAGUGGAAUUCCAAGUGUAGCGGUG